UACGUAGGGGGCAAGCGUUGUCCGGAAUCAUUGGGCGUAAAGCGCGUGUAGGCGGCCCAGUAAGUCCGCUCUGAAAGCCCGGGGCUCAACCCCGGGAGGCGGGUGGAUACUGCUGGGCUCGAGUCCGGAAGAGGCGAGUGGAAUUCCAGGUGUAGCGGUGAAAUGCGUAGAUAUCUGGAGGAACACCGGUGGCGAAGGCAGCCUUCUGGGCCAACACUGACGCUCAUGCACGAAAGCGUGGGGAGCAAACAGG
Molecule: ribosomal RNA, 253 nt
Filed under: uncultured bacterium
Lineage: Bacteria
Description: partial 16S ribosomal RNA
Rfam family: Bacterial small subunit ribosomal RNA
Source: RNAcentral